GAUCAUUACGUAAAACUUGGCAUGCAGUGGUGUAAGAGACCCAUCCCCAACAACGUCAACCUGCAGAAGGAAAAGCUAGUUUUCUUCAAUCGAAGGUCAUGGAGAUCAUUACGU
Molecule: long non-coding RNA, 114 nt
Organism: Daphnia pulicaria
Lineage: Eukaryota; Metazoa; Arthropoda; Branchiopoda; Diplostraca; Daphniidae
Exons: 2
Source: RefSeq, a predicted model, not a curated record